GGAUGUGAGGGCAAUCUGGCUGUGACAUCUGUCACCCCAUUGAUUGCCAGUGUUGAUUUGGCUAAUCUGGUUGGCUAGACCAGUGUCCCCUUCCUCCCUCACCACUCC
RNAcentral lists this small nuclear RNA (108 nucleotides) under Neotoma lepida (desert woodrat). RNAcentral's name for it is "7SK RNA". It matches the Rfam family "7SK RNA", at positions 1 to 108 of the family's 331-position model. Rfam says of the family: 7SK was discovered as an abundant small nuclear RNA in the mid-70s but a possible function has only recently been suggested. The record is from Rfam by way of RNAcentral. Lineage: Eukaryota; Metazoa; Chordata; Mammalia; Rodentia; Cricetidae.